Molecule: ribosomal RNA, 576 nt
Filed under: uncultured eukaryote
Lineage: Eukaryota
Description: SSU rRNA
Rfam family: Eukaryotic small subunit ribosomal RNA
Source: RNAcentral
UAAAAACCCCGACUUCGGAAGGGGUGUAUUUAUUAGAUACAAAACCAAUGCCCUUCGGGGCUCUUUGGUGAUUCAUGAUAACUAUACGAAUCGCACGGCCUUGCGCCGGCGAUGGUUCAUUCAAAUUUCUUCCCUAUCAACUUUCGAUGUUUGGGUAUUGGCCAAACAUGGUUGCAACGGGUAACGGAGGGUUAGGGCUCGACCCCGGAGAAGGAGCCUGAGAAACGGCUACUACAUCCAAGGAAGGCAGCAGGCGCGCAAAUUACCCAAUCCCGACUCGGGGAGGUAGUGACAAUAAAUACUGAUACAGGGCCCUUUCGGGCCUUGUAAUUGGAAUGAGUACAAUUUAAAUCCCUUAACGAGGAACAAUUGGAGGGCAAGUCUGGUGCCAGCAGCCGCGGUAAUUCCAGCUCCAAUAGCGUAUAUUAAAGUUGUUGUGGUUAAAAAGCUCGUAGUUGAACCUUGGGCCUGGCUGGCCGGUCCGCCUCACCGCUUGCACUGGUCCGGCCGGGCCAUUCCCUCUAUGGAACCCCAUAUCCGUCACUGGGCGUGGCGAGGGAACAAGAAAUUAACUUU